ACCCGCCGUCUCUCCCUCCCUGCGCCUUCCCUCUAACCUUAAAGACCCAGCUACCUCUACGCAAAUGGUAGCUACCUCUGCGCAGGUGGAAGUUGAGUUCGGUUCACGCGGGACCCUCUUCCCUGUGGCAAGCUGCUGAAGGAGACCUGCUGUUACUGCUUUAGCUGCUGUUCUGCUUAAUCUCAGACAGCUGGAAGGUAGUAUUCCGCCCUCGCCCAGCCACCCGAGUAAAUGAGAAUGAUGACUGACUGAGACCCUGAUGGUGGUGGCUUAGGCUUAAUCUCAGACAGCUGGAAGGUAGUAUUCCGCCCUCACCCAGCCACCCGAGUAAAUGAGAAUGAUGACUGACUGAGACCCUGAUGGUGGUGGCUUAGGCAAGAUGAACGUCUGAAAUGGAGGCCCAGGGCUGCCACGAUGGCUCUGUAGUCAUCAGGGAGGGAGCUCCUUUUAUCUUGUUACCUACUCCCCUCUUGUGCCCCUUUCUUCCCUUGAUCUAAGAAGGUUGCUCCGGAUCUCGCCAUCUGGCCUGCGUUCAAUCAGCAGAAGCUUCCUGGAGGAGCAGGAGGAGGCACUGUGCUCGCAUCACAUACCAGUGGCCAGAAGUUGGCUUCAGGGAAGCUCAGGAAAUAGGAUGCGAGAAGCCAUGAGACCUCCCCAAACUCUGCAGUAACAGAGUCAACAAGACAAUGGCUUAAAGAUGGAGAGACCAGUUGAUCGGUCACACAAGCUGUUCCACGAUAAUUCUUGUGUCAGAAGGGGAGGCUGACUACCAGGACCACUGGCCCCACUUCCAGCCCCUCCAUUCUGAGUACACUUCAGAGGGCUCUGGCAGGGUGAGGGGGUCUUGGUGGUGCCACAGAGAGUAAAGGUCUAGCACACCCAUUGUGGAGAUAUUUCAUGGGGACAACCCAGUGACUUCACUUGAAGUAAAGUGGGAUUUUCCAACCUUGAGAUUCUUAUUUUCUUUGCACGUGCCCAGCUUCCUUUCAAGUCUCUGGCCAAUGCAAUGUGAGCAGAAGUGAAGGGGCAACUUUCAGGUGAUGACUUGGAAAAGAAAGCUUAGUCCUCUGCUUCUCCUGUCAC
Molecule: long non-coding RNA, 1083 nt
Filed under: Homo sapiens (human)
Lineage: Eukaryota; Metazoa; Chordata; Mammalia; Primates; Hominidae
Description: HSALNT0331442
Source: RNAcentral